Molecule: long non-coding RNA, 5139 nt
Filed under: Zea mays
Lineage: Eukaryota; Viridiplantae; Streptophyta; Magnoliopsida; Poales; Poaceae
Description: long non-coding RNA (ZMAY_LNC000227)
Source: RNAcentral
AUAGUGGUCUACCAGAGAGGGCACAUGUGCCUCAAUUGGCCUAUAGCAUAGUGGCUCAUUAUCCUUCCACCGCUGGUGGCGGGCGGUACUCGCUGCUCUGUGAAGCCAGCCUCACGCAAUGUCCGCCACUUUAGGUGUUGGGAUGCAAAGGCUUUCGCCAAGGCAUCCGAAACCCACUACACAACUUGGAAUGGGUGGUCCACAAUUUGUAGCACUAGACCCAUACACAUGCACCACAAUUGAUAUCCACACUACCUUAUUGCCCCCGCUCGGGUUACAAGCAAUCGCUACUUGCUCAGCGAGUGAGGGGGUUCAGGACUACCUAUUUAAGGUGGUGUUGUACUCUAUGAGCCGGCGAUGUGGUAUUUACCAACUACAAAUAGUGUCAUGCAUGUGACUUGCUAGUUGACAAAGUCUGUUGUCGAGCUAGAUGUAGGCUAUGGAUGAAGCACAUUACGAUAUAGUAGGCCUAUUUUGUUUUUUGUUGUUUUUGGGCCACUAUGGACUUUAUGUUGAUGUUGUGAAAUUUUUUCUUGUGUUUCCUCUUCCUACGAUGUCGAAAGUGGGUGCGUCAGAGAAGAAAGAAAGUGUGGGUUGCAUUGAUUUUACGUCAUACCAUUGAGAACACUAAUCAGAACCAGAAGCAACAAUAUUUCAUACAUAUACAACACUUGUAAUCCAUAUAAACAACUUUCCUUUAAAAUAUCAUAUAAACCACAUGAUUUAUAUCCUGGGUCGGUUAUCUCCACAAAGGGCAAGAAAACGCUCCAAGUUUGUAGUAUAGAACUAAAAGUGUCGACUCUCACGAUUUCUUCCCGACAUAUGCAAACUAGACAAUAAUCACAUAAAAUAAAGAAAUAUGUGUUAACACAAACUUAUAGCAUGUAUUUCAACAUAUAGAUUUUUUAUUAUUAUGGUAGAUUAUAUAAUAUAGGGGUUCCCGAAGAAAUACAUAAAAAACAAGAGCAUUAAAAUUUCCUUUUCAGAUCUGGCUAACUGGUAAAGGGAGUUGGAGUAUCUGAGUUUCCAAAUUUGGGACGUCGCUCUAUAGAAGGAAUAUAAAUACAUUGGAAAAAAAUUCUACAAGGAAAGGUUUAAUACAAGUAGGGCUAAGAAAAACUCAAUGAGGCUUUGGUCGCAUGGUCACAAGACUUGAGACAAGAAACACGAAGACACCAAGGUAAUUAGUAUGAGAGUUUUCCAAAUUUGGUGUCUUGAUGUAGAAAAAAUAAAUAUAUGACAAACAUGUAUUUUCGCAAGGCAUGGUAAAAUAAGUGGGAGUGAGCAAUAAAUUUCAUCCUAGAUUUAGAAGGAACAAAUAUAUCACUAAAUACAUUUUUUCACAAUGCCAAGUUAACCAGGCGGGACCGAGAAACAAUUCUAGCAAGGCUAGGUUGUACUAGUCCGAAACUACGUACAACAAAGGAAAAAUGAAGAAAAUGAUGGUCUACCAAAUAUGGCGCAUGAGCCUUAAGGUGCACCUAGAGGGAAGUAGAAGAAAUAAAUAUAUAAUAGGAUAUGUUUUUCGCAAUGCAAGGUAAAAUGUAGAUGUGCUCUAACUGGGCUUAGAUUGCAGCGAUACAUUAUGCAUCCACAAGGCUUGGUUGCACAUGGAAAAAGAUAGAGAGAGAAAUGUAGACGUAGGACCAGGAGAAAAACAUUCAAUGAUACAUUAUUGCACGGACAUAGAACUAGAUAUAAGACAAGAGUUAAAGAAACAUAAAGGAACUAAAUUUUCUUUUGCAUACUAAGCAUGAAUGGAGUUGUAGUAUCUGAUAUAAAAAAUUAAUUUAUUCCAAGAUGCAGAACAAAAUUGUGAUACUCGUAAUGGUUACAUAGGAACAAAAGUAGAUAAGAAAAAUAGCAAAACGAUAGUAGUCUACCAGAGAGGGCACAUGUGCCUCAAUUGGCCUAUAGCAUAGCGGCUCAUUAUCCUUCCACCGCUGGUGGCGUGCGGUACUCGCUGCUCUGUGAAGCCAGCCUCACGCAAUGUCUGCCACUUUAGGUGUUGGGAUGCAAAGGCUUUCGCCAAGGCACCCGAAACCCACUACACAACUUGGAAUGGGUGGUCCACAGUUUGUAGCACUAGACCUAGGCACAUGCACCACAAUUGACAUCCACACUACCUUAUUGCCCCCGCUCGGGUUACAAGCAAUCGCUACAUGCUCAGCGAGUGAGGGGGUUCAGGACUACCUAUUUAAGAUGGUGUUGUACUCUAUGAGCCGGCGGUGUGGUAUUUACCAACUACAAAUAGUGUCAUGCAUGUGACUUGCUAGUUGACAAAGUCUGUUGUCGAGCUAGAUAUGGGCUAUGGCUGAAGCACAUUAGGAUAUAGUAGGCCUAUUUUUGUUUUUGUUGUUUUUGGGCCACUAUGGACUUUAUGUUGGUGUUGUAAAAUUUUUUCUUGUGUUUCCUCUUCCUAUGAAGUGGAAAGUGGCUGCGUCAUAGAAGAAAGAAAGAGUGGCAAGCAUUGAUUUUACGUCAUCCCAUUGAGACCAGUAACCAAAAGCAGAAGCAACAAUAUUUCAUACAUAUACAACAAUUGUAAUCCAUAUAAACAACUUUCCUUUAAAAUAUAAUAUAAACCACAUGCUUUAUAUCCUGGGUCGGAUAUCCCCAUAAUAGGAUAUGUUUUUUGCAAUGCAAGGUAAAGUGUAGAUGUGCUCUAACUGGGCUUAGAUUGCAGCGACACGUUAUGCAUCCACAAGGCUUGGUUGCACAUGGAAAAAGAUAGAGAGAGAAAUGUAGACACAGGACGAGGAGAAAAACAUUCAACGAGACGUGAUUGCACGGAUAUAGAACUAGAUAUAAGACAAGAGUUAAAUACAAAUAAAUGAACUAAAUUUUCUUUUGCACACUAAGCUUGAAUGGAGUUGUAGUAUCUCAUAUCAAAAUUUAAUUUAUUCCAAGAUACAGAACAAAAAUGUGAUACUCCUAAUGGUUACAUAGGAACAAAAGUAGAUAAGAAAAUUAGCAAAAAGAUAGUGGUCUACCAGAGAGGGCACAUGUGCCUCAAUUGGCCUAUAGCAUAGCGGCUCAUUAUCCUUCCACCGCUGGUGGCGGGCGGUACUCGCUGCUCUGUGAAGCCAGCCUCACGCAGUGUCCGCCACUUUAGGUGUUGGGAUGCAAAGGCUUUCGCCAACGCACCCGAAACCCACUACACAAGUUGGAAUGGGUGGUCCACAGUUUGUAGCACUAGACCCAGGCACAUGCACCACAAUUGACAUCCACACUACCUUAUUGCCCCCGCUCGGGUUACAAGCAAUCGCUACUUGCUCAGCGAGUGAGGGGGUUCAGGACUACCUAUUUAUGGUGGUGUUGUACUCUAUGAGCCGGCGGUGUGGUAUUUACCAACUACAAAUAGUGUCAUGCAUGUGACUUGCUAGUUGACAAAGUCUGUUGUCGAGCUAGAUGUGGGCUAUGGAUGAAGCACAUUACGAUAUAGUAGGCCUAUUUUGUUUUUUGUUGUUUUUGGGCCAAUAUGGACUUUAUGUUGAUGUUGUGAAAUUUUUUCUUGUGUUUUCUCUUCCUACGAUGUGGAAAGUGGGUGCGUCAGAGAAGAAAGAAAGAGUGGCUAGAAUUGAUUUUACGUCAUACCAUUGAGAACACUACUCAGAAGCAGAAGCAACAAUAUUUCAUACAUAUACAACACUUGUAAUCCAUAUAAACAACUUUCCUUUAAAAUAUAAUAUAAACCACAUGAUUUAUAUCCUGGGUCGGCUAUCUCCACAAAGGGCAAGAAAACGCUCCUAAGUUUGUAGUAUAGAACUAAGAGUAUCGACUCUCACGAUUUCUUCCCGACAUAUGCAAACUAGACAGUAAUAACAUAAAAUAAAGAAAUAUGUGUUAACAUGAACUUAUCACAUGUAUUUCAACAUAUAGAUUGUUGAUUAUUAUGGUAGAUUAUAUAAUAUAGGGGUUCCCGAAGAAAUACAUAAAAAACAAGAGCAUUAAAAUUUCCUUUUCAGAUUUGGCUAACUGGUAAAGGGAGUUGGAGUAUCUGAGUUUCCAAAUUUGGGACGUCGCUCUAUAGAAGGAAUAUAAAUACGUUGGAAAAAUUCUACAAGGAAAGGUUUAAUACAAGUAGGGCUAAGAAAAACUCAAUGAGGCUUUGGUCGCAUGGUCACAAGACUUGAGACAAGAAACACAAAGACACCAAAGUAAUUAGUAUGAGAGUUUUCCAAGUUUGGUGUCUUGAUGUAGAAAAAAUAAAUAUAUGACAAACAUGUUUUUUCGCAAGGCAUGGUAAAGUAAGUGGGAGUGAGCAAUAAAUUUCAUCCUAGAUUUAGAAGGAACAAAUAUAUCACUAAAUACGUUUUUUCACAAUGCCAAGUUAACCAGGCGGGACCGAUAAACAAUUCUAGCAAGACUAGGUUGUACUAGCCAGAAACUACAUACAACAAAGGAAAAAUGAAGAAAAUGAUGGUCUACCAGAUAUGGCGCAUGAGCCUUAAGGUGCACCUAGAGGGAAGUAGAAGAAAUAAAUAUAUAAUAGGAUAUGUUUUUCGCAAUGCAAGGUAAAGUGUAGAUGUGCUCUAACUGGGCUAAGAUUGCAGCGAUACAUUAUGCAUCCACAAGGUUGGCACAUGGAAAAAGAUAGAGAGAGAAAUGUAGACGUAGGACCAGGAGAAGAACAUUCAAUGAGACAUGAUUGCACGGACAUAGAACUAGAUAUAAGACAAGAGUUAAAGAAAAAUAAAGGAACUAAAUUUUCUUUUGCACACUAAGUAUGAAUGGAGUUGUAGUAUCUGAUAUCAAAAAUUAAUUUAUUUCAAGAUGCAGAACAAAAUUGUGAUACUCGUAAUGGUUACAUAGGAACAAAAGUAGAUAAGAAAAAUAGCAAAAAGAUAGUGGUCUACCAGAGAGGGCACAUGUGCCUCAAUUGGCCUAUAGCAUAGCGGCUCAUUAUCCUUCCACCGCUGGUGGCGGGCGAUACACGCUGCUCUAUGAAGCCAGCCUCACGAAAUGUCCGCCACUUUAGGUCUUGGGAUGCAAAGGCUUUCGCCAAGGCACCCGAAACCCACUACACAACUUGGAAUGGGUGGUCCACAGUUUGUAGCACUAGACCCAGGCACAUGCACCACAAUUGACAUCCACACUACCUUAUUGCCCCCGCUCGGGUUACAAGCAAUCGCUACU